ACGCCUUUAAGAUCCGGUUACGGU
Molecule: non-coding RNA, 24 nt
Filed under: Arabidopsis thaliana (thale cress)
Lineage: Eukaryota; Viridiplantae; Streptophyta; Magnoliopsida; Brassicales; Brassicaceae
Source: RNAcentral